CCUACGGGAGGCAGCAGUAGGGAAUCUUCCACAAUGGGCGAAAGCCUGAUGGAGCAACGCCGCGUGAGUGAUGAAGGCCUUCGGGUUGUAAAACUCUGUCAUUCGGGACGAACCGGAGUCUGAGGAAAUGCAGACUCUCUGACGGUACCGGAGGAGGAAGCCCCGGCUAACUACGUGCCAGCAGCCGCGGUAAUACGUAGGGGGCAAGCGUUGUCCGGAUUCACUGGGCGUAAAGCGCGCGCAGGCGGUGAUGUAAGUCUGAGGUGAAAACCCGAAGCUCAACUUCGGGACUGCCUUGGAUACUGCGUCACUUGAGGAUAGGAGAGGCAAGGGGAAUUCCACGUGUAGCGGUGAAAUGCGUAGAGAUGUGGAGGAACACCUGUGGCGAAGGCGCCUUGCUGGCCUAUUUCUGACGCUGAGGCGCGAAAGCGUGGGGAGCAAACAGGAUUAGAUACCCUGGUAGUCCACGCUGUAAACGAUGAGUGCUAGGUGUAGGUGGGCUCAUACCCAUCUGUGCCGAAGCUAACGCAUUAAGCACUCCGCCUGGGGAGUACGGUCGCAAGCUGAAACUCAAAGGAAUUGACGG
Molecule: ribosomal RNA, 586 nt
Filed under: uncultured bacterium
Lineage: Bacteria
Description: bacterial SSU rRNA
Rfam family: Bacterial small subunit ribosomal RNA
Source: RNAcentral